UAAGUAGUUUUAAAAUGUAGUAGAACGUAGAACAUGAAUCUCACUUUCCAGCUUUGAAGCUAUCCAUUGCUUUUCAAUCUAACACAUUCUGAAGCUUGGUACUGAGGACUUAUUCUGCUUUUCUCUUUGGAAUACCAGAGAGUUUUGCUUGGGUCCUUCAACAGGUGACUUGGUUUGAUCUUGAUGACUCAACAGAGUAAUCAAUCUGGGGUUCAUACAUUUCAUUGGAACCCUGCAAAUUUAUAAUUUGGUGAAGAUCAGCAGGGCAGUUCCAGUGAACUGCACCAAUAACAGUCGUCAGCUACAUGAAGACAACCAGAUCCUCUACCAGAAACAGACACAUGAUGAGUUUGGGACCCUGUUGACAGGGUCACUUAUAACCAUGGAAAACUUCUGAAAACAGUUUGAUUGCAUGUCCUUCUUUUGGCUUCUAUAUAGCUUAUGUGAUAGAUUUGUAGACCCUGAAGCUUAUGGGGACAAAGAGAGGAACUAGGAUGACAUAAGAAGCCACAGUAAUGAAGUUAAAACCUUUGGGGAAAAUAGCAGUAUCAGUACAGGAUGAAAGACAAGCUCAGUUUUCUUCAAACUGUGCUAGAAAAUCAGAUGGUACAUUGCACAGGAGGCUGCAGAGCACUUUCCCAGGUAACACCAACUAUAUGUCCUUCCUCCUGUCACUGGGCAUGGAGGCUUGGGUCCAAACGUUAAAGAGCAAUUAGAAGGAAUUGAGUGGUAUCUAGUGGCUCUACCAUGGAUUUUCCAACAAGGGCAGGAGAG
Molecule: long non-coding RNA, 774 nt
Organism: Lontra canadensis (Northern American river otter)
Lineage: Eukaryota; Metazoa; Chordata; Mammalia; Carnivora; Mustelidae
Exons: 3
Source: RefSeq, a predicted model, not a curated record